Molecule: long non-coding RNA, 774 nt
Organism: Mastomys coucha (southern multimammate mouse)
Lineage: Eukaryota; Metazoa; Chordata; Mammalia; Rodentia; Muridae
Exons: 4
Source: RefSeq, a predicted model, not a curated record
CUCACCAUAAAUGGGGCCAAAUGGGUCACCAACAGCCUUGGCACAGGAGAGCCUUGUGGAAAUUCUUCUGUGUGAGCUGUCUGAGAGCCAUCUCCAGUCAUCUGGCUCAGGGCCCCACCCCAGCUAGCUCAACAGCUCUGAUCUUUGGCAAGUCAUGCAAUUCCAAUGCAAUCGUCUUGCUUGCCAAAACUGCUAUGCCCUUUCUUAGUGAAGUUGAAAUGCUGAGCGCUUCUCCCUCAGAAUAAUAUAAACUCCUUUCUCUUUGUGUAAUUACUGGAAGGAAUGUGGAAUGCAGAAAAACAACCCCAGCAUUGCAGGGUCUCUCGCUGAACCUGGAGCUUACCGAUUCAGCUAGGCUGACCAGCGAGCAAACCCUAGGGAUUCUCCUGCCUCCAUCGCUUCAGUUCUGGAAUUAUAGAGUCCCUGGUAUGUAAUAGAUGUUCGAUACAUGGGAGCCGAGUUCUCUGCUGUUAUUGGCGAUGGUGAUGGUGUGGUUAGUGGUUCAUUCAUCAGUCUCAGCACACUGCAGAUACGGAUCAACAGAAACCCCCUCCAUCCUCCUGCUGUGUCCAUGAAUGCAGAGAAAACUAAUGAGCAGUUGGAGCUAUUGAGGAACUUCCUGUGGUCCUUGGAGAGGUACCUGUAUGUCUUAUUCUUCCCUUCUGUUAAGUCAAGGCAGGUCACUGAUUUUACUGACCCUCUGUGAUGGCUGCUAUAUUGGUUACUUUUCUCAUUGCUGGGGCAAAAUAUUCUAUUAAAAACAACUUAAAGAAA